RNAcentral lists this non-coding RNA (47 nucleotides) under Janthinobacterium sp. RNAcentral's name for it is "Guanidine-II sequence". It matches the Rfam family "Guanidine-II riboswitch aptamer (mini-ykkC)". From Rfam's summary of the family: Simpler in structure and has fewer highly conserved nucleotide positions than the ykkC-yxkD leader. Despite this each of its two stem-loop structures directly bind free guanidine. Lineage: Bacteria; Pseudomonadati; Pseudomonadota; Betaproteobacteria; Burkholderiales; Oxalobacteraceae. The record is from RNAcentral.
AAGUGGGGACGACCCCACCGCUCCACCAACAAUUGAGGACGGCCUCG